AUUCCAUAUGUCCUGUGCCAGAUGCUCCCAGCUGCUGCAGCUGUGCUCAGAAUGGUAAGUAGACAGUUCUGAUUUAUCAAAGCAGAUUUUAUUUAUUUAUUUUCCAGUGUCAUUCCUUGAAAGGGAGGGAGAAGAACAGUUUGUCAUUGGGAGGGCAAAAGUGUAAUGCACAAGAGUGAUUUGAUGCCAACGAUCUGACAAAAGGAAUCAUUGGUCAAAUGUGGAGAUCCAGGCAAGGCUGGAAUCUGGAAGACCCCAAUAAGGGUCUCAGUGUUCUUGGCGCAUGUUCUUGGCAUCAAAAUAUUUUGUUUAUGCUGAAGAGUAUAGGAGUCACAUGCAUAUGGAAAAAUGCACUCACUCAGGCUUGGAGUGCAAGUGACUCUUGUUUGUAAACCAACCUUCUGUGCAUCGUCAAAAGAUGUAGGAGAUGAAUGUGAAUGAUUCCAUCCCUCUGACUAUUGGCAACCCUUUCCAGCCCCUUGGCCUGCAAACAGCUGGACUCUCUGAGCAGUGCUUCUCCAUCCUACAUCUUUGGGGGCUAGUAGGAAAUAUAUAUGGAGUGUUAAGAGUGAUGGUGGAAGAGGCACAGCUUCAAAUCUCUGCUCAGUCAUAAAGCUUGCUGGGUGUGCUCCUCAAAGCUGAAAUAUGUUUAGCCCCCUUAGCUAGUUCACAGGAACUCCUGUGAAGAUGGAUGACAUAAGAAUUGUAUGAGAUCAGUAAGCCGACUCCUCUUGACUGACCUCUAUUUCCAUUUGCAGUGUCAGAAUAUUUGCUAAAUAUGUAUCUUUCCCACUUUAUCAAUGAAAUUACUUCAAAUUUAAAACAAAAACCAAAGCUCAAUUCCAGUUCUGAUACUGACACCAUAGAGUUGGCCAUGUUUGACAGGCCCAUUCCUGUUACCCAGCUCUUCUGCACUUCCUAUGUGGGAAGAAAAGAUAAAGUGGGGAGCUUGCUCUGUGAAUUUAGGCUCCCCAUGUAAUGUAGAAACUUGUGCAGUCAGAUGUCUAAGUGGUGGAAGGACCCUAUUUUCAUGGAGCAGGCUCCCCUCUUCAGAUCUUCUCCAAUAAGGAGUGGAGCGAUGUGAUGGAAACAAGAGGGCAGCAAGCAUGGCUCCACUCCUUCCGCUCUCAUAAUUUGAACUGUACAUUGUUACUGGCAUCUCUCUCAGGAGACAAUGGAAGAGUGCACCUUUGGGUGUAAAGUCAAACCAUUGGAGCGUUACAGCACCAGCUGUGGCUGUAGAGACCGAUACAGAAGAAGCAUAUGUUAUUGCAGGUGGGGCAGAUGGAGGCGUCUGGUUUUGCUGCUACAGGUGCACUAUGGCAUUUCUUCUCUCUGCAGUCCUCCCAGCAGUCAUUCCUCCUCUGGUCACUGCUGCGGAUACACGACCUGACUGUCUGACUCCAGGCACUGUGAUAAUCUACAAGGAAUUGUGUGAAGGGCUGAGUACAUGAAUAGACCUGGAUUCAAUAUGAACUGAGUGCAAAACUCACAGGCCCAGUUUGAUCCUCAUUCCAUUUGCGGUGCUCUAGCAACUUCUGGAAGAAACGUCACAAAUUUUGCCACCUAUCUUAAUUUCAAACCCAACUUCAAAAAUGGACAUGGAACUAUACCCCCUUCCAUUAUUGACUCUCCCUUCCUCCAAAGAAAGAUCAGCCCUUUGAGAACAUUUGGUCCAGCACUAACCUAAACAUUACAGCAGUAUCCCAGGCAUAAGGAGUCUUUGAAGAUAUAUAGUUCUCUAAGGCUCCUUUUUCCAAUUCAAACUUUUUUCCAUAACUAAUUGUAAAGCACAUUGAACAACAUUUUUUGUGGAGGCCUUUGAAUGUCACAUGGUAGUUGAUUAACAUGUAAGAAUCCAGCCAUACAUAGGAACCUAAUCAGGGAGUCAAAACCCUUUUGUGGAAACAUAAGGCAGGCCAACAACCCUUCUUCUCCAGCAUCUUGUUCUCAUAGUGGUCAACUAGAUGCCUGUGGGAAGCCUGGAAGCUGGACAUGAAUGCAAGAAUACUCAGCCCACCUAAAAUUCCCAGCUUGUGCUUGUGUCAGGAUUGGGCUAUGGGCAGAGGUGAGCGAGGAGCAGGGAUGGGGGAGACAUUUGGUUUAGUUUUUAUUCCAAGGUGACAAUGCCUGAUUUGCAGUUUCUGAAACAAUAUGUGAUAGAGCCACCAAAAUUCCUCCUCAGAAUUUUGUCAUGAGGUUCUCCAGCCAAAUAAUUUUUACAAAAAAAACCCAAACUAUAUAGACUGGGAGGAAUUGUGAAUGUAAAUAUAUAU
Molecule: long non-coding RNA, 2276 nt
Filed under: Podarcis lilfordi (Lilford's wall lizard)
Lineage: Eukaryota; Metazoa; Chordata; Lepidosauria; Squamata; Lacertidae
Source: RNAcentral